RNAcentral lists this ribosomal RNA (265 nucleotides) under uncultured bacterium. Its description in RNAcentral is "partial 16S ribosomal RNA". It matches the Rfam family "Bacterial small subunit ribosomal RNA", at positions 793 to 1055 of the family's 1533-position model. The record is from RNAcentral.
GUCCACGCCGUAAACGAUGGGUACUAGGCGUCGGGGGGAGCGACCCCCUCGGUGCCGUCGCUAACGCAGUAAGUACCCCGCCUGGGGAGUACGGCCGCAAGGCUGAAACUCAAAGGAAUUGACGGGGGCCCGCACAAGCGGUGGAGCAUGUGGUUUAAUUCGAAGCAACGCGAAGAACCUUACCUGGGCUUGACAUGCACGAGAAACCCGGUGGAAACAUCGGGCCCUCUUCGGAGUUCGUGCACAGGUGCUGCAUGGCUGUCGU